GACGAACGCUGGCGGCGUGCCUAAUACAUGCAAGUAGAACGCUGAAGAGAGGAGCUUGCUCUUCUUGGAUGAGUUGCGAACGGGUGAGUAACGCGUAGGUAACCUGCCUGGUAGCGGGGGAUAACUAUUGGAAACGAUAGCUAAUACCGCAUAAAAUGGAUUAUCGCAUGAUAAUUAAUUGAAAGGUGCAAUUGCACCACUACCAGAUGGACCUGCGUUGUAUUAGCUAGUUGGUGGGGUAACGGCUCACCAAGGCGACGAUACAUAGCCGACCUGAGAGGGUGAUCGGCCACACUGGGACUGAGACACGGCCCAGACUCCUACAGGAGGCAGCAGUAGGGAAUCUUCGGCAAUGGACGGAAGUCUGACCGAGCAACGCCGCGUGAGUGAAGAAGGUUUUCGGAUCGUAAAGCUCUGUUGUAAGAGAAGAACGAGUGUGAGAGUGGAAAGU
Molecule: ribosomal RNA, 451 nt
Filed under: Streptococcus sp. oral taxon 071
Lineage: Bacteria; Bacillati; Bacillota; Bacilli; Lactobacillales; Streptococcaceae
Description: bacterial SSU rRNA
Rfam family: Bacterial small subunit ribosomal RNA
Source: RNAcentral